GUCCACGUCUUCAGCCAUCUUCCUAUAGAGGUGACCCUUCUGAUGCGUGUGGUUCGUGUUUCUAUGCACUUUGGGGAUGUUUCUUCUGUAUUUUUGAGCAGUAAUUUCCUUUCUGAUGGAUUUUCUCUGAAUUUGCGUGACACCAUCUACUUCAAGAUUCAGCUGAAGCUUCUGAACCUCACCUUCAAGCUGUGGAUUUUCAGGCUGCAAAGGGGCUUGCUCAGUUUGAAGACUUUUCCUUUGUUCUGUGGAUUCUUUACCAGCUGAGCCACCAGAGAAGCCCACAUUCUCCUCUCCUCCUAAGGGGAACCUGGAAUUCUCUGGCCUUCCCAGCAGCUGCCAAGGCCCAGAUGCUGGGCCAAGUGGGACACCUAGACAGCAGCGAGAGGGCAGCUGUGGGCUUUCACAUGGUGGCUGUUCUUAGGACAGCAGCUCGGCGGGUGAUCAGACCCCAUGUGAUCCACCGCAAGAGCCCUCCUUCAGGCAACCCCUCCUCUAUUUCCCACAUCUUCAUCCCGCACCUCGUCUGAGAUCCUGGCCUUUGAGUGAAGGAGUAGCCUGUGCAACGCCCAGCCCCAUGGAAGAGCCAAAAGUUUCCACUUUGGGUGCAGGUGGACCCUGCUCAGGCCUCUGAGGGCCCCCCUUGCCUCCGAUCAUGCCACUUCCAAACCCUCCUGCAUACAGCCUCCUACUGACCUCGGAACACACAUCGAAGCAGGCUGCUGCUGUACCCUGACCUUCCCUGGCUCCCUACUGCCCUCAGGACCAAACUCCCUGGCAUGGCGCUCAGCCUGCAAGCCCAGAUCCCUGCCUUUCUCUCCAGUCACGUUCCCCACAGCUCCCACCUUUGUGCUUCUCAUCUCCACGCAUCCCUGCAUUUUCCCAAGUGUACCUCUUUGAAACCCCAACCAGUAACUCGAGUCCCUUUUCCAUCGUAUACAGACUGUUGGACCGUUCUCUUUGUGGCGCAGGGGCCCAUCC
Long non-coding RNA from Bos taurus (domestic cattle), 981 nucleotides. NCBI's taxonomy places the organism in Eukaryota, Metazoa, Chordata, Mammalia, Artiodactyla, Bovidae. The record is from Ensembl.